UCGCAUCUUUAACAAGCUCCCAGGUGAUGCUGCUGUGGAUCCUGUGAUCCUGCUUUGAGAGCCACUGCCCUAGCAGGAUCACAUAUUUUGCUCAAAAUCUGCUUCCAGGUGCUGAGUGGAAGGGGAAACUUCUGCACAUGAGCAGCUCUGAUGCACUGGUGUGGUUUGCACUGCCCAGCUCUUAGCAACCUUAUGUUCAAGGUGACAGUGAAAGGCACCUCAUCUCCCUCCUGUCAUCACAGGUAUGCCUGCAUUGUGGGAGAAGACUACACAAAGAUGUGAAUAUCAGAAGGUAACUGUCUGCAAGGACCUUCUCAUAAAUUUCGCUCAGAGAGGAGGCCUUCUGUGAAGUUGCCAUUAGACAUUGUCAUUCAUCUGUGGAGACUGAGGGCCAGAUAGUUUCAGCUGUGUCUGGAUUGAAUGGCGCCAGCACUCAUCUUUCCUGACAGUGGCUGAACCAGAGGAGCAUUGACAUUUUUCAUGAUGAUAGCUGGAUAUAAAUACUUGGAUCAUCCUGGAGACUCCACUGUCCAGCCCAGUAUUUCUCUUUAGCCAGUUCCUUCUCCUGCUAUAUUUGGCUGCAGCCCAUUGUGGAAAACUCUGAUGUCGAACUCCUAUGGCUGUAUAAACACCAGAGCUUAGUUCAGGGAGUCCCUCAGAUUGCCAACAAGUAUGAACUGAAUGAUGACACUGUUCAAAAUGCCUUCCUUGCUAUUCUCCUGCAUGACCAAGUAUCCUGGCUUUUUAGAUGCAGCCAUUAAACAUUAAGUUCUGGACGCUGGGAAAUCCAAGAUCAUGACGUUGGCAGGUCUGAUGCCUGGUGAGAGCCCACUUCCUCAUUGACGACUGUCUUCUCACUGUAAUCUCCCAUGGCAGAAGGGGCAAGCCAGCUCUCUGAGGCCUCCUUUAUAAGGGAACCAAUUCCAACUAAUCACCUCUCAAGUGCACAGAUUACUAAGCGCACUUUGGAACCAUGGAGGAAGGUGGCUGAGUGUCUCUGCCACGUGGGAAAGUGAACCACAGGGAUGGCCUUGGGCUGCUGGAACCACUUUGCCCAGACACAGAGGGCUGGAGGUGCCUGGGUGGUUAGCAUUGCUGUUCCUACCCCUAACUCCAGCCAGCGGCGUCACGGAACCAGGACCAGUGACUGACAGAAUAAGGUUAUGGAUUCUUGGGAUGAAGACCACAGAAGGAAAGUGCCAUUGUUCGUUUCUUCACUGUAAAGUUGCUUUUUCUACUCUUUUCCAUACUGUGUCCUUUGGAAGGAAGUCACUGUGUACAGUCCAUACUUACGGAGUGGGGAGGCUUUUCUGGGAAUCUGAUUUCAUGGAGCCUGCUAUUUGACACCACUUCCUCGAUGUUAAGCCCGAUUUGGAUUCCUCCACCUUGAAGACUCUCUUCACUAAGAAACUGAUGUAGGAACUGUUCUUGGAGAAAGAGGCUGGUAUGAUGAGAGAAUCAAGAGUCAGAUGAAUCCUCUUCCUAAAGGUCCUCCAACUAUGAAGUAGUGAACUGGGGGCUGAAACCCCCCUCUCUCACUCUCAGUUGGUGCUCUUCGGUUGUGAACUUAAGAGGCUGCUAUGGUUUAGAAGAAAGAACUCAGGUGGCCAUUUGUUGAUUUUAUCACUGAAAUAUGGAACUUCUUCCAGACUUACCUUCCUCAUUCCUACAAUAUUGGAUAAUAAUAUUCUCCUCACACAGCUGUCUCAAGUAUUGAAGAAGAUUGUGGAUAUAAAGUACUUUUAGAACGCCAUGUUCGUGGGAGUUGUCAAACAUAAGCGAAUUAUACCAAGACAGUGGAAGGAGAACUGAGAGAAACGAUAACUGACAAGGUAAGCUGAUUUAAAUAUUUAUUGAUUUCAUUUCAACAAAUAAUGAUUAUUGUGAUAUUACCUGCAGUCAUUUGGUGCAUGUGUAAGAGGAGGAGGCGGGGCAGUUUUGCUUAACAGUCUGUUUUGCCCCUUUAUCUUUUAUCAGGCAAGUUCUGUCUUCCAUCAACUCCUUGUAACUCGGUUUAAGUCUCUUUCUUCUAAGAACAGAGGGAUCCCCUAGGAAGUAGACAUAUAAAUGAGAAUUGAUUUUAAGUUUCAGAUGUUUACCUUGUUUCUGAGUAAGGGAGUGCUUGCCCUUCAACUUUCAGUCUAUUCAAAAUCCCUAUAUGCAGCCAAUAUUAAGUGUUUCCUGUAUACCACUUGAUGAGCACUGGGAAUAGAGGGGUGAAUAUUAUGGAGACGUUCCUUGUGCCUGUAUAGCAUGCAUUCGAAUGUCAGAAACUAGGUAAUACAUGCAUAGAGAUGUUGCAUCGUAAUGAAAGAAAAUGUGUACUGAUAUUUAAUAGUGGUUAAGGGCUUGGUGUUGUCACUGUUGGGCAACUGUUGUCACUGUUGGGGCUUGGGUUUGAUCCUUGGCCUUGGAACAUCACAUGAUGUGGGCAUGGCCAAAAAAUAAAAAUAAAGAAAGAGAGAAAGAAAGAAAAAAAGAGGUCUUGGAGGCUCUUUCUGAAGGAGAAUAUUGAUGUUGAGACACAAAUGACAAGUAAGAGGCAGUAUGAAUGGUUGAGAGGACAGAAUGUUCUAGUUGAACUGAGAAGCAAGUGCAAAAGCCCUGAGGUGGGAGCAUACCUUAUGAUCAAGGUAAGCAAGGAAUGGUUGAGUAACUUUAGAGAAAAGCCUAAAUGCUAUUUCAUUUGACAUUUAAAAAAUUAUAUUGGGUCUAAAUUUAUGCUCUUAAAUGGUUCCAGAGUGCUUGGAAAUUGAAAGUUCAUUAAUGAAAAUUCUCAUUGGAUUAGGACUUUGGAAAUGGGUUAUUGCUUAAACAUAUUUCAAAUGAUUAUGGUGAAAAAUUACAUUUCACAAAUUGGUUAAGAAUUUUAGUAACAAUCAAGCCACUUCUGUUGAGUGAAAACCUACUAGGUGCUGUGUGUACUGUGAACAGGCUCUAUGAGAAAAUAUGAGUUAACAUAAGAUAGAACUUUUAACCUGAAGAUGAGCAGAGUUGAGAUGCUGGGAAGAUGUGUAAGCCCACAAAAAGAUGACUAACGACACAAAUUCAUAACAAGUUCAAAUAAAUCAUGACAUACUAACAAGGAAAGCAAGGGUGCUUACACCUCACAGUGCACAGGGUGGCUUCUUGAAGGAAAUGAAAUUGGAACUGGGAGGAAGAAUUAAGUGGCCAGAGCCUGGCAGAGUUUGUGGUAAUGAGCAGAAGUGAUGGGAAGCAGUGACAUAUCAAAGACUUAUGUCUUUCUUCCUUUUCUUCAUACCAUGAAGCUGAAUAAAAGUUUCACAAUUUGAUUUUUGCUUUUGGCACGAUUGAAAUACAUACCUAAAUCAUUAAGAAACUGUGUGAUCUCUUUCUAUGUUAUUUUACAACAAGGCUUCCUGUCCUACUAGACAGCAGCUCUAUGAAGAAAACUCUAGUCCCCCCGGUGUUAGUUUUUUAUUUUGAUGAAAUACAGAAUUUUAUUUUGAUGGUGCUUCACUAUUACAAAGAGAUGAAACAAAUAGAACUUCAUUCCAUAUUGACAAAUAAGAGGAAUAUUAUAGAAUGAUUCCCAUUGCUGCUAUCUACCCCAUUUUUUCUAUGAUGAAGUAGAUGACUUGGGGUUGCUGGGCCCCAAGUAUCCCAGCUCCCUUUACAGCAUCUUAAAUAGUGCUCCUUGAAUGUCAAUCAAAGGUAUAUCCAAAGUUACUGGACAUGUCUCUGUGGGACCUUCCUGAUCCUGAAAAAGGCCUCAAAGCAAAGAAAUACAGCUAAGUGAGCUGUUCAUGCAGUGGUAUAAAUGGAUUCUUGGCAAUUCAUUGGCUUUCUCUGGUCAUUGAGUCAGAGCCACACUGUUUGUUGAGGGUCGGUUUAGUAACUUCUACCUUUCAUCAUCUCCUUGGUAUUUCUCUGUAUUGGGGGCAAGCUGCUACAGACUGUCUGAGAUGUUACUUUGUGUGUGUGUGUGCAUGUGCACACGUACACAUGUCUAUUUUCUCGAGGUCUUAUUUUUUAAAACUAGCUAAUCAUUAUAACUACUUGGUUUUUUGUUUUUUGUUUUUUGUUUUUGUUUUAACAAAAUACAGAUGAUUGGGAUUCAACCCAAAUCAGUUAGAUAAAAAAUCUAUGCUGGAGCCCAGAUUCUAGUAAGUUCCCUCAGGGCUGCUAAAGUUCAGUGAGUCUUGAGCUCCUUUGACCUCUCCUGAAAGGAUGAAUGCCUUGAUUUGUAUGCAUGUAUUUCUGUCAGAUGCUUUAAAUGAAGUCAUUAACCAAAAUGCAUUUCCAGAGUUCGGGUCAUUGAGUUGAGAAUCAAAUGAAAUACAUUUCUGGGUGAUGGAACAGUAAGGAUGAGAAGAGAACUAGAGCAGUGUGGUGUGCACAUAUGUAGCUACUGUCUUUGAUGCAGCACACAUAACUGACCCAAGAAAGCUAGUGCCCAGGUCACAGCUGCAGAGACACUCUUAAGAACCAUCAGUGACUUCACAAUGCCAUUACACCGGGUGUGAGGUGGUUCCUGGCAUUCAGCUUCCUGUUCUUCCAUCAAAAGGAAGACCUUUUCUGGCCAACAGGCUAGUCAGACUCCUCUAGCUUGCUAUACCUUGGUGCUAAGAGGUUCUGAUGAGGCAGUAUAGUCCUCACUCCUUUGUGUAAUAAGGUAAGGUUAAGGAAGAAAAAAGAAUUCAUAAGUGAAAAAUCGUUUUGUUUUUGUAAAGGGCCACAUGAAUGGUACAGAUCCAUCUUUCUCCCUGGGGCAGUGGACUCAGAUAACAGAUUUAACUAUAGCUACAUCUCUAUAUCUCCAAGUGACCUUGGACAAGUUCUUUGACUUGUCUAAACCUCUUUUUCUCUGAAAUUCUCUCUCUCUCUUUUUUUUUUUUUUGCUUUUUAGGGCUGCAAUAGCAGCAAAUGGAAGUUCCCAGGCUAGGGGUGAAAUCAGAGCUAUAGCUGCCGGCCUACACCACAGCCACAGCAACGCCAGAUCCGAGCCACAUCUGUUACCUACACAACAGCUCAUGGCAAUACUGGAUCCUUAACCCAUAGAGUGGGGCCAAGGAUUGAACCCAUAUCCUCAAGAACCCUAGUUGGGUUCAUUAUCGCUGAGUCACAAUGGGUACUCCCUCAUUUAAUGAGUAUUGAUUGCAUAACCACUACGAAUCUGAUAUUGUUCUAGGAACUAGGGAUAAAGCAAAAAAUAGUCUCCAGCUUUCAUGGAACUUGCAAGGGUAUAGUAAACAAUAAACAGGCAAAGGCUUAGUAUGCCAGGUGGUUGAUAAAGGCCUUGGAGAAGAAGGAAGCAAGGCAGAUAAGGUAGGAAUUUCGGGGGGAAUGUGGGUUUUAUGGGGAAUGUUGAGAUUUUGUUAUCAGGAGAGCUGCAUUGAUAAUUAAGGGCUUUGAAGGAAUUAGGACCAGGUAGAUAUGUAUUAAAAGUUCAUUACAGGCAAAGAACACAGCAAGUGCAAAGGCGUGGAGGUGGUAUUGUAUGUGGAAUUCUGGAGAAAUAGAAGGAAGCCAGUAGGGCUGGCACAGAGAGAGAGAAAUAGGGAUACUGGUAGGAGAUGAAGUCAGUUAGUCCUGAGGCCAAGUUAGGGAGGUAGCCCUUUGCAUACUUAAACCUGCAUGGGAAUCCCUGGGGGCUGUUGUUGAAAUGUGGAUUCAGAUUCAGUAGGUCUGGAACGAGGCCUGGGCUUCUAGAUUUUGAACCUCUUCCAGGCAGACCACACUCUGAGUGGACUAGGUGUGGGGCUAUGUAAGCUAUUGUAAAUAAAGAUGUUAGCAUUGGCCCUGAGUGAGAUGGGGGGGGGCAUGGGAAUGUUUUGAGUGCCUCUUCAAGGCAUGGUUCUGGCUGUCACGAUAAUGAGGUGUCCAACGCCCUGACUGAUUUUGCACAUUGUCUGGGUUUUAGUCCUAGUGUCACCACUCACUCACUGCCUGUCUUUGGUAAGUUGCUUAAACUUCUUUUUCUCUCAACUUUUUGUUUUGAAAAAUGCUAAACCUAGAGAAAAGGUGAAAGAAAAGUACAAUUAAUGCUUUAUAUCCUUCACCUAGAUUGAUCAACUAUUAAUAUUUUUCUCUAUUUGCUUAUCUCAUACUCUUAAGUACAUAUUAUCUCAUUUAUUAUUAACCAUUUAAGAGUCAGUUUUUGACAUAAUGACCCUUCAACCCUAACUAGUUCAUUAUGUAAGAAAAAUCUCCUAUAUAAAUACAAUGAACAGUCACAUUCAGAACAUUUGAUGUUGAUACAAUCAUCUAAUAUAAAAAUCUCAAUUUAAAUACAACCAAUUUCCUUCCCAAAUAUCCUUUAUAACAAUUUCCUUUUUCUGAUGUUGAAUCCAAUCCAGGAUAUUAUAUUGGAUGUUAUAUUGCUUUAGUUUUCACGUCUCAUUAGUCUUUUAACCUAGAACUGAAUUGCUUUACCUCGGCCUUUUUAAAAAAUGUAAAAAAAAUUUUUUUGAUGUUUUGUGCCAUUGUUAUUUUUGAAAAGUCUGCACCAGAGUUCUCUGGCAGCCUAGCAGUUAAGGAUCCAGCAUUGUUACUUCUGUCACUCAGGUCACUGCUGUGGUGUGAGUUCGAACCUUGGUCCGGGAACUUCCACAUGCCUGGGCAUGCCCCUUCUCCCUCCAAAAAAACCCUGGCUGGGCCAGUUGUUUUAUAGAAUGUCACCCAAUUUAGAUUAAAGGUUUGUAAUGAUUUAAUUCAGGUAUGCAUGAUUAGCAAAAGUACCAUGUAAGUGAUGUGUGCCUUGCUCUGUGCAAGCAUCCAGAGGCAUUUGAUGUCAGUUUGCUUCAUUUUAGUGAUGUUAACUUGGGUCACUUGCAUAAAGUGUUACAGCAGAUUUCUUCACUGUAUAGGUACCCAUUUUCCUUUGUAGUUAACAAGCUACCUGUAGAGAAAUACUACAUAAGUAGCCUUUCCCUCAACAAACUCUCAUCCAGUGGUUUUCCACCCAUGAAUAAUUCUCAUCUGAAAAAAUUAUUGCUUUAGAGGUUGCAAAAUGGUUAUUUUGCUAACUGUCAUUACUUGUUUUAUUAUUUGGCUAUGUAAAAGAGCUUUUUUAUUAUUUUGAUUUGUUCUAUUUGACCUUUUGACUUUAGUUUUAUCAUUCUGCCAUCUAGAAGAGCUUUCUCUUUAGCCUGUGUGUGUGUAUAUGCACGUAUGUAUCCAUCUGUGUAUCCAUGUCUGUAUCUAUCUACCUAUUCCUUGUCUUGAUAUGAACUUAUGGGUUCUUUAUUUAACAAUUCAGUUGUGCUAUAAACCAUUGCUGACAUCAUUAUUUUGAUGCCCAAAUUGUCCUUGUUUUGCCAGGAGGAGCAUCUUCAAUCUGGUUCCCAUGUUCUUUUCAGGUUUGAGUGCUUCCUCAAUUUCUUGCCCCACAAAAUAUUCUAGGUUCACUUUGUACUUGACCUUCCCCAACCCUGGACAGCCAUUUUUUCCCAAAACCCUGGUUCCCUUUGUGCAGACUUGUUUAUAAGUACCAAUUUUUAAAAAAUUAAAAUAGAACUACCAUAGAAAUUAUGAAAUUAGAUGGCAAUAUAACUUGCAGAGUUAUUUUGAGGGUUAAAUGAGAAAAUUUGUGUAAAAGACUUUACAUUAUUUAUUUCAGCCAUUUCCAAGGCAGUAUAAAUCAAUGGAAACAUGGCUGAGAAUGACAGUAGAUGGAUUUAGAAAAUGUAAAUUAUGAUAUCCUCUGGGGGAACACAAAAGGUUAACAGAUUUACAUAACAGGUCCAUAAAUAUCUACUUUGCCUCCCAAUGUAUAGAAGAUAAACAGUUUGCCAUCACACAUGGCAUUUUAGCAUAAAGAGUUACCAAUCUGAUUCUCAAGUCCUUAUGCAAAUAAUACAGAAAAAAAUCAUACUCUCAAACAAAUUCUUAGUUUUGAUGAUGUGGGAAGAGAUUUUACAUAAGACUUUAAAUCCUAAAGCAUUUCAUUUAGAACUGUUUGCAAAAAGUUCUUUAAGGAGGAGGACUUCAUGUGGGGAGAGAUUGGUCCCAUUUAGACCCAGGCAUAGAAUCAAGUGGCAUGAGAACGUAAUACUAGUCUUACUAUGAAGAGGAGUUCUCAUUGCUUCAUCCAUCAUUUUUAAUUUUUCUGACUGUGAACCAUCAUACUUAGAAGGUUGGUCUUCAUAUGUGUUAACAUUUUCUUAGAAAUACUUUUUCUUUAUUAUGCAAUUAAUAGAUGUUCCUUGUAGACACAUUAGAAAA
RNAcentral lists this long non-coding RNA (8187 nucleotides) under Sus scrofa (pig). RNAcentral describes it as "lncRNA (ENSSSCG00005038755.1)". Lineage: Eukaryota; Metazoa; Chordata; Mammalia; Artiodactyla; Suidae. The record is from RNAcentral.